Molecule: ribosomal RNA, 373 nt
Filed under: uncultured organism
Description: bacterial SSU rRNA
Rfam family: Bacterial small subunit ribosomal RNA
Source: RNAcentral
CGUAGGGCGCAAGCGUUGUCCGGAAUUAUUGGGCGUAAAGAGCUCGUAGGCGGCUUGUCACGUCGGAUGUGAAAGCCCGGGGCUUAACCCCGGGUCUGCAUUCGAUACGGGCUAGCUAGAGUGUGGUAGGGGAGAUCGGAAUUCCUGGUGUAGCGGUGAAAUGCGCAGAUAUCAGGAGGAACACCGGUGACGAAGGCGGAUCUCUGGGCCAUUACUGACGCUGAGGAGCGAAAGCGUGGGGAGCGAACAGGAUUAGAUACCCUGGUAGUCCACGCCGUAAACGUUGGGAACUAGGUGUUGGCGACAUUCCACGUCGUCGGUGCCGCAGCUAACGCAUUAAGUUCCCCGCCUGGGGAGUACGGCCGCAAGGCUA